This 574-nucleotide long non-coding RNA is filed under the name Parus major (Great Tit). Its description in RNAcentral is "lncRNA (ENSPMJG00000014947.1)". Lineage: Eukaryota; Metazoa; Chordata; Aves; Passeriformes; Paridae. The record is from RNAcentral.
AGGUACUUAGGGGCUGAGGGUGGGGACUCUAGAACAUCCUGAAAAGGGGAAGCACUAAGCCAAAUAAUAAAUGGGACAUGUGAGUCUGUCAGCAUAUCCUGUAUAGCAUCACUUUGUUGUGACUCUCACGCCAUUUAGAAGGUUGCAAAGAAGUAUCAUUGCAUCUGGAGAAGGUCUUCCUCUGUGCAGCUGGACUACCAGGGCCACAGUCAGGUCGUGUUGGGUAUAUUCUGUGAGACUUCACUAGUGCUUGGGUUCUGGGGAAAAAAGAGAACACAGGCCCAUGCCAAGGGGGAAAUGCAGAGGGAGGAAUUCAGAACUCAGAAAGGAUCUCCAACAGCAGAAUCUCCAUCGUAAAGAAGGAAACAUGAACCAUGACAGUCUCACCCUCUGCAUAAACAUCAAAGGGAACAUAUCCGGAAUAUUCAGCUAGAUGAAGAGUGUGAAUUCAUCACAGAUUCCUCCUCAGCAUCUGUCUAGACUUAAAAUAAGCAGAUCCAGAAAGAUUACUGCGUCAGAAGCGAGGAGAAUCCUGCCAAAGGUGAAUUGCCUCUUUCCUGAGUGCUGUCAAGAG